RNAcentral lists this ribosomal RNA (1183 nucleotides) under Salmonella enterica. Its description in RNAcentral is "partial 23S ribosomal RNA". It matches the Rfam family "Bacterial large subunit ribosomal RNA", at positions 1243 to 2409 of the family's 2925-position model. Lineage: Bacteria; Pseudomonadati; Pseudomonadota; Gammaproteobacteria; Enterobacterales; Enterobacteriaceae. The record is from RNAcentral.
UAAGCCUGUGAAGGUGUGUCGUGAGGCAUGCUGGAGGUAUCAGAAGUGCGAAUGCUGACAUAAGUAACGAUAAAGCGGGUGAAAAGCCCGCUCGCCGGAAGACCAAGGGUUCCUGUCCAACGUUAAUCGGGGCAGGGUGAGUCGACCCCUAAGGCGAGGCCGAAAGGCGUAGUCGAUGGGAAACGGGUUAAUAUUCCCGUACUUGGUGUUACUGCGAAGGGGGGACGGAGAAGGCUAUGUUGGCCGGGCGACGGUUGUCCCGGUUUAAGCGUGUAGGUGUGUGUUCCAGGUAAAUCCGGUUCACUUUAACACUGAGGCGUGACGACGAGGCACUACGGUGCUGAAGCAACAAAUGCCCUGCUUCCAGGAAAAGCCUCUAAGCAUCAGGUAACAUCAAAUCGUACCCCAAACCGACACAGGUGGUCAGGUAGAGAAUACCAAGGCGCUUGAGAGAACUCGGGUGAAGGAACUAGGCAAAAUGGUGCCGUAACUUCGGGAGAAGGCACGCUGACACGUAGGUGAAGUGAUUUACUCAUGGAGCUGAAGUCAGUCGAAGAUACCAGCUGGCUGCAACUGUUUAUUAAAAACACAGCACUGUGCAAACACGAAAGUGGACGUAUACGGUGUGACGCCUGCCCGGUGCCGGAAGGUUAAUUGAUGGGGUCAGCGCAAGCGAAGCUCCUGAUCGAAGCCCCGGUAAACGGCGGCCGUAACUAUAACGGUCCUAAGGUAGCGAAAUUCCUUGUCGGGUAAGUUCCGACCUGCACGAAUGGCGUAAUGAUGGCCAGGCUGUCUCCACCCGAGACUCAGUGAAAUUGAACUCGCUGUGAAGAUGCAGUGUACCCGCGGCAAGACGGAAAGACCCCGUGAACCUUUACUAUAGCUUGACACUGAACAUUGAGCCUUGAUGUGUAGGAUAGGUGGGAGGCUUUGAAGUGUGGACGCCAGUCUGCAUGGAGCCGACCUUGAAAUACCACCCUUUAAUGUUUGAUGUUCUAACGUGGACCCGUGAUCCGGGUUGCGGACAGUGUCUGGUGGGUAGUUUGACUGGGGCGGUCUCCUCCUAAAGAGUAACGGAGGAGCACGAAGGUUGGCUAAUCCUGGUCGGACAUCAGGAGGUUAGUGCAAUGGCAUAAGCCAGCUUGACUGCGAGCGUGACGGCGCGAGCAGGUGCGAAAGCAGG